UACGUAGGGAGCAAGCGUUGUUCGGAUUUACUGGGCGUAAAGGGCGCGUAGGCGGCGCGGUAAGUCACUUGUGAAAUCUCUGAGCUUAACUCAGAACGGCCAAGUGAUACUGCAGUGCUAGAGUGCAGAAGGGGCAAUCGGAAUUCUUGGUGUAGCGGUGAAAUGCGUAGAUAUCAAGAGGAACACCUGAGGUGAAGACGGGUUGCUGGGCUGACACUGACGCUGAGGCGCGAAGGCGUGGGGAGCGAACAGG
This 253-nucleotide ribosomal RNA is filed under the name uncultured bacterium. Its description in RNAcentral is "partial 16S ribosomal RNA". It matches the Rfam family "Bacterial small subunit ribosomal RNA", at positions 524 to 776 of the family's 1533-position model. The record is from RNAcentral.